GAUGAACGCUAGCGGCAGGCUUAAUACAUGCAAGUCGAGGGGCAGCACAGGUAGCAAUACUGGGUGGCGACCGGCAAACGGGCGCGGAACACGUACACAACUUACCUUAGAGUGGGGGAUAGCCCAGGGAAACUUGGAUUAAUACCCCAUAAAACAGGGGGCCCGCAUUGGCAUAUUGUUAAAGAUUUAUCGCUUUAAGAUGGGUGUGCGUGUGAUUAGGUAGUUGGUAGGGUAAAGGCCUACCAAGCCGACGAUCAUUAACUGGUGUGAGAGCACGACCAGGCACACGGGCACUGAGACACGGGCCCGACUCCUACGGGAGGCAGCAGUAAGGAAUAUUGGUCAAUGGACGGAAGUCUGAACCAGCCAUGCCGCGUGAAGGAUGAAGGUCCUCUGGAUUGUAAACUUCUUUUAUAGGGGGCGAAAAAGGGCCAUUCUUGAUCAACUGACGGUACCCUAUGAAUAAGCACCGGCUAACUCCGUGCCAGCCGCCGCGGUAA
Molecule: ribosomal RNA, 500 nt
Filed under: uncultured bacterium
Lineage: Bacteria
Description: partial 16S ribosomal RNA
Rfam family: Bacterial small subunit ribosomal RNA
Source: RNAcentral